This 869-nucleotide ribosomal RNA is filed under the name uncultured bacterium. RNAcentral's name for it is "bacterial SSU rRNA". It matches the Rfam family "Bacterial small subunit ribosomal RNA", at positions 57 to 918 of the family's 1533-position model. The record is from RNAcentral.
GCAAGCCGACGGCAGCGCGGGGAGCUUGCUCCCUGGCGGCGAGUGGCGGACGGGUGAGGAAUGCAUCGGAAUCUGCCCAUUUGUGGGGGAUAACCUCGGGAAACCGGGACUAAUACCGCAUACGACCUCCGGGUGAAAGCAGGGGACCUUCGGGCCUUGCGCAGAUGGAUGAGCCGAUGCCGGAUUAGCUAGUUGGUGGGGUAAAGGCCUACCAAGGCGACGAUCCGUAGCUGGUCUGAGAGGAUGAUCAGCCACACCGGGACUGAGACACGGCCCGGACUCCUACGGGAGGCAGCAGUGGGGAAUAUUGGACAAUGGGCGAAAGCCUGAUCCAGCCAUACCGCGUGGGUGAAGAAGGCCUUCGGGUUGUAAAGCCCUUUUGUUGGGAAAGAAAAACAUCCGGCUAAUACCCGGAUGGAAUGACGGUACCCAAAGAAUAAGCACCGGCUAACUUCGUGCCAGCAGCCGCGGUAAUACGAAGGGUGCAAGCGUUACUCGGAAUUACUGGGCGUAAAGGGUGCGUAGGUGGUUCGUUAAGUCUGAUGUGAAAGCCCUGGGCUCAACCUGGGAAUUGCAUUGGGUACUGGCGGGCUGGAGUGCGGUAGAGGGUAGUGGAAUUCCCGGUGUAGCAGUGAAAUGCGUAGAUAUCGGGAGGAACAUCCGUGGCGAAGGCGACUGCCUGGACCAGCACUGACACUGAGGCACGAAAGCGUGGGAGCAAACAGGAUUAGAUACCCUGGUAGUCCACGCCCUAAACGAUGUGAACUGGAUGUUGGGAGCAAUCAGGCUCUCAGUAUCGAAGCUAACGCGUUAAGUUCGCCGCCUGGGGAGUACGGUCGCAAGACUGCAACUCAAAUGAAUUGACGGAA